AUUGAACGCUGGCGGCAUGCCUUACACAUGCAAGUCGAACGGUAACAGGUUAAGCUGACGAGUGGCGAACGGGUGAGUAAUGUAUCGGAACGUGCCCAGUCGUGGGGGAUAACUGCUCGAAAGAGCAGCUAAUACCGCAUACGACCUGAGGGUGAAAGCGGGGGAUCGCAAGACCUCGCGCGAUUGGAGCGGCCGAUAUCAGAUUAGGUAGUUGGUGAGGUAAAGGCUCACCAAGCCGACGAUCUGUAGCUGGUCUGAGAGGACGACCAGCCACACUGGGACUGAGACACGGCCCAGACUCCUACGGGAGGCAGCAGUGGGGAAUUUUGGACAAUGGGCGCAAGCCUGAUCCAGCCAUGCCGCGUGCGGGAAGAAGGCCUUCGGGUUGCAAACCGCUUUUGUCAGGGAAGAAAAGGUUCUGGCUAAUACCUGGGACUCAUGACGGUACCUGAAGAAUAAGCACCGGCUAACUACGUG
RNAcentral lists this ribosomal RNA (477 nucleotides) under uncultured bacterium. RNAcentral's name for it is "partial 16S ribosomal RNA". It matches the Rfam family "Bacterial small subunit ribosomal RNA", at positions 30 to 507 of the family's 1533-position model. The record is from RNAcentral.